Molecule: ribosomal RNA, 496 nt
Filed under: uncultured bacterium
Lineage: Bacteria
Description: partial 16S ribosomal RNA
Rfam family: Bacterial small subunit ribosomal RNA
Source: RNAcentral
GAUGAACGCUGGCGGCGUGCCUAAUACAUGCAGGUCGAGCGUACAGACGAGGAGCUUGCUCCUCUGACGUUAGCGGCGGACGGGUGAGUAACACGUGGAUAACCUACCUAUAAGACUGGGAUAACUUCGGGAAACCGGAGCUAAUACCGGAUAAUAUAUUGAACCGCAUGGUUCAAUAGUGAAAGACGGUUUUGCUGUCACUUAUAGAUGGAUCCGCGCCGCAUUAGCUAGUUGGUAAGGUAACGGCUUACCAAGGCAACGAUGCGUAGCCGACCUGAGAGGGUGAUCGGCCACACUGGAACUGAGACACGGUCCAGACUCCUACGGGAGGCAGCAGUAGGGAAUCUUCCGCAAUGGGCGAAAGCCUGACGGAGCAACGCCGCGUGAGUGAUGAAGGUCUUCGGAUCGUAAAACUCUGUUAUUAGGGAAGAACAAAUGUGUAAGUAACUAUGCACGUCUUGACGGUACCUAAUCAGAAAGCCACGGCUAACUACGU